AGAUUCGGAGGUCGGGGCCUCUGGGUCACCUCCCAUCCGUGUCUAUCUGUACCCUGUUGCUUCGGCGUGGCCACGGCCCGCCGGAGACUAACAUUUGAACGCUGUCUGAAGUUUGCAGUCUGAGUUUUUAGUUAAACAAUCGUUAAAACUUUCAACAACGGAUCUCUUGGUUCCGGCAUCGAUGAAGAACGCAGCGAAAUGCGAUAAUUAAUGUGAAUUGCAGAAUUCAGUGAAUCAUCGAGUCUUUGAACGCACAUUGCGCCCCCUGGUAUUCCGGGGGGCAUGCCUGUCCGAGCGUCAUUGCUGCCCUCAAGCACGGCUUGUGUGUUGGGCUUCCGUCCCUGGCAACGGGGACGGGCCCAAAAGGCAGUGGCGGCACCAUGUCUGGUCCUCGAGCGUAUGGGGCUUUGUCACCCGCUCCCGUAGGUCCAGCUGGCAGCUAGCCUCGCAACCAAUCUUUUUAACCAGGUUGACCUCGGAUCAGGUAGGGAUACCCGCUGAACUUAAGCAUAUCAAUAAGCGGAGGAA
This 528-nucleotide ribosomal RNA is filed under the name Aspergillus cristatus. RNAcentral's name for it is "eukaryotic LSU rRNA". The stretch from base 147 to 300 matches the Rfam family "5.8S ribosomal RNA". Lineage: Eukaryota; Fungi; Ascomycota; Eurotiomycetes; Eurotiales; Aspergillaceae. The record is from RNAcentral.